AACGCUAGCUACAGGCUUAACACAUGCAAGUCGAGGGGCAGCAUGGUCUUAGCUUGCUAAGGCCGAUGGCGACCGGCGCACGGGUGAGUAACACGUAUCCAACCUGCCGUCUACUCUUGGACAGCCUUCUGAAAGGAAGAUUAAUACAAGAUGGCAUCAUGAGUCCGCAUGUUCACAUGAUUAAAGGUAUUCCGGUAGACGAUGGGGAUGCGUUCCAUUAGAUAGUAGGCGGGGUAACGGCCCACCUAGUCUUCGAUGGAUAGGGGUUCUGAGAGGAAGGUCCCCCACAUUGGAACUGAGACACGGUCCAAACUCCUACGGGAGGCAGCAGUGAGGAAUAUUGGUCAAUGGGCGAGAGCCUGAACCAGCCAAGUAGCGUGAAGGAUGACUGCCCUAUGGGUUGUAAACUUCUUUUAUAAAGGAAUAAAGUCGGGUAUGGAUACCCGUUUGCAUGUACUUUAUGAAUAAGGAUCGGCUAACUCCGUGCCAGCAGCCGCGGUAAUACGGAGGAUCCGAGCGUUAUCCGGAUUUAUUGGGUUUAAAGGGAGCGUAGAUGGAUGUUUAAGUCAGUUGUGAAAGUUUGCGGCUCAACCGUAAAAUUGCAGUUGAUACUGGAUAUCUUGAGUGCAGUUGAGGCAGGCGGAAUUCGUGGUGUAGCGGUGAAAUGCUUAGAUAUCACGAAGAACUCCGAUUGCGAAGGCAGCCUGCUAAGCUGCAACUGACAUUGAGGCUCGAAAGUGUGGGUAUCAAACAGGAUUAGAUACCCUGGUAGUCCACACGGUAAACGAUGAAUACUCGCUGUUUGCGAUAUACAGCAAGCGGCCAAGCGAAAGCGUUAAGUAUUCCACCUGGGGAGUACGCCGGCAACGGUGAAACUCAAAGGAAUUGACGGGGGCCCGCACAAGCGGAGGAACAUGUGGUUUAAUUCGAUGAUACGCGAGGAACCUUACCCGGGCUUAAAUUGCAGAUGAAUUACGGUGAAAGCCGUAAGCCGCAAGGCAUCUGUGAAGGUGCUGCAUGGUUGUCGUCAGCUCGUGCCGUGAGGUGUCGGCUUAAGUGCCAUAACGAGCGCAACCCUUGUUGUCAGUUACUAACAGGUUCCGCUGAGGACUCUGACAAGACUGCCAUCGUAAGAUGUGAGGAAGGUGGGGAUGACGUCAAAUCAGCACGGCCCUUACGUCCGGGGCUACACACGUGUUACAAUGGGGGGUACAGAGGGCCGCUACCACGCGAGUGGAUGCCAAUCCCCAAAACCUCUCUCAGUUCGGACUGGAGUCUGCAACCCGACUCCACGAAGCUGGAUUCGCUAGUAAUCGCGCAUCAGCCACGGCGCGGUGAAUACGUUCCCGGGCCUUGUACACACCGCCCGUCAAGCCAUGGGAGCCGGGGGUACCUGAAGUGCGUAACCGCGAGGAGCGCCCUAGGGUAAAACUGGUGACUGGGGCUAAG
This 1449-nucleotide ribosomal RNA is filed under the name uncultured organism. RNAcentral describes it as "SSU rRNA". It matches the Rfam family "Bacterial small subunit ribosomal RNA". The record is from RNAcentral.